CUGCCUUGUCGCCUGCUUAACGUCACACAGCAAGUGAGCACCUCCGGUGGAGGGCACAGCGGAGCCCCUUUGGUGGCACGCCACACACGAUGAGUGGCUCCUUUGCGCUGCGCAAGCUCCUCUUCGAUAUCGACGACGAGGAGGACGUCAACCGACGCGGGUACCACUACGCCGGUGCGUAUGCACCGCUUCUUCACAGUGUCGCGGUGCUGCAGCCGGCUGCGGUGCUUCCAAAAAGCGGUCUGCCCUUCGCCUGUCUGUGUCUCUUCUCGUCUUUUGCGACGUGUCUCACCAUGAAGGUACGCAAGAAAGAGAGGUGGUGGAUGGGCAUGUUUGCCAUCUGCGCCGUCUACUACAACAGCGUCAAGGCGCACAAAGUGAACAAUGGGCUUGUCGGCCAUCAAUGCGGUUUCUUUGCCGCUGGAAUGGGUGCCAUCGGGUGUGUCGCGCGGCUGAUGGCCAAAAGCGGCUCUGCUCGAAAGAACUUCGGCUGCCUCGGUCUCUUCACAGCACUACUGUGGUACGAAAUCGGCCGCUAUCACCUGUGGACGGAGCAUGUGACAGAGUUCCGCCGCGAUGUUACGCCGGAGCGGUCGUACGACUUGCUAGGCGAUUAUGUUCCGCAGUCCUUGGAGGUUGAGUUUCUCCCGUACCGCACUAUUACGUAAGGGAAACGAACGAAACCAGCGUCUCUUCUCGCUUCCGCGAUUUCUGUGUUUUGUGGCCACGAGAGUGACUGCAUCUGCUGCCAG
RNAcentral lists this unclassified non-coding RNA (752 nucleotides) under Leishmania donovani. Its description in RNAcentral is "gene:LdHU3.29.4230(CDS-product:hypothetical_prote in_conserved)". The record is from RNAcentral. Lineage: Eukaryota; Euglenozoa; Kinetoplastea; Trypanosomatida; Trypanosomatidae.